GACGAAGGUGGCGAGCGUUGUUCGGAAUCACUGGGCAUAAAGCGCACGUAGGCGGCGGCGUAAGUUGGCUGUGAAAUCCCCCGGCCCAACCGGGGAACUGCGUCCAGUACUGCGUUGCUUGAGGAUCCAAGGGGUGCAUGGAAUUCCCGGUGGAGCGGUGAAAUGCGUUGAUAUCGGGAGGAACUCCGGCGGCGAAAGCGGUGCACUGGUGGAUUACUGACGCUGAGGUGCGAAAGCCAGGGGAGCAAACGGG
Molecule: ribosomal RNA, 253 nt
Filed under: uncultured bacterium
Lineage: Bacteria
Description: partial 16S ribosomal RNA
Rfam family: Bacterial small subunit ribosomal RNA
Source: RNAcentral